GGCUUAUUGAUUAUAAUUUUAAGUCGAGCCUGCCCAAUGAGUGUUUUAAAUGGCCGCGGUAUUCUGACCGUGCAAAGGUAGCAUAAUUAUUAGUUUUUUAAUUAAAAGCUUGUAUGAAAGGUUUGAUGAAAAAGAAGCUGUCUCUGUAAAAGUUAAUUAGAAUUUUAUUUUUAAGUAAAAAAGCUUAAAUUUUUGUAGAAGACAAGAAGACCCUAUAGAGUUUUAUAUUUAUAUUGAAGUUAAAUUUUAGGUAUUAAAAGUUUAAAGAUUUUUAGUAUUUUAUUGGGGUGAUUGAAAAAUAAAAAUAACUUUUUUUAUAUAUUAACAUUUAUUUGUGAAUUUAUGAUCCUAGAGAUUUAGAUUAAAAGAUUAAAUUACCUUAGGGAUAACAGCGUAAUCUUUCUUAGAGUUCUUAUCAAAUGAAAGGGUUGCGACCUCGAUGUUGGAUUAAAAUUAAUUAUUGGUGUAGAAGCUAAUAAAUUAGGUCUGUUCGACCUUGAAAAUUUUACAUGAUCUGAGUUUAAACCGGCGUGAG
This 535-nucleotide ribosomal RNA is filed under the name Trigonopterus sp. 894 AR-2022a. RNAcentral's name for it is "partial large subunit ribosomal RNA". It matches the Rfam family "Bacterial large subunit ribosomal RNA", at positions 1826 to 2625 of the family's 2925-position model. Lineage: Eukaryota; Metazoa; Arthropoda; Insecta; Coleoptera; Curculionidae. The record is from RNAcentral.